RNAcentral lists this ribosomal RNA (301 nucleotides) under uncultured bacterium. RNAcentral describes it as "partial 16S ribosomal RNA". It matches the Rfam family "Bacterial small subunit ribosomal RNA", at positions 509 to 809 of the family's 1533-position model. The record is from RNAcentral.
CAGUAGCCGCGGUAAUACAGAGGGUGCGAGCGUUAAUCGGAUUUACUGGGCGUAAAGCGUGCGUAGGCGGCUUCUUAAGUCGGAUGUGAAAUCCCUGAGCUUAACUUAGGAAUUGCAUUCGAUACUGGGAAGCUAGAGUAUGGGAGAGGAUGGUAGAAUUCCAGGUGUAGCGGUGAAAUGCGUAGAGAUCUGGAGGAAUACCGAUGGCGAAGGCAGCCAUCUGGCCUAAUACUGACGCUGAGGUACGAAAGCAUGGGGAGCAAACAGGAUUAGAUACCCGUGUAGUCCCUGUCUCUUAUAU